RNAcentral lists this ribosomal RNA (274 nucleotides) under uncultured bacterium. RNAcentral describes it as "partial 16S ribosomal RNA". It matches the Rfam family "Bacterial small subunit ribosomal RNA", at positions 523 to 796 of the family's 1533-position model. The record is from RNAcentral.
AUACGAAGGGGGCAAGCGUUGUUCGGAAUAACUGGGCGUAAAGCGCACGUAGGCGGAAUGUUAAGUUAGAGGUGAAAUCCCAGGGCUCAACCCUGGAACGGCCUUUAAUACUGGCAAUCUAGAGACCGAGAGAGGUGAGUGGAAUUCCGAGUGUAGAGGUGAAAUUCGUAGAUAUUCGGAGGAACACCAGUGGCGAAGGCGGCUCACUGGCUCGGUACUGACGCUGAGGUGCGAAAGCGUGGGGAGCAAACAGGAUUAGAUACCCGUGUAGUCC